AGUGAACGCUGGCGGUAGGCCUAACACAUGCAAGUCGAACGGCAGCACAGUAAGAGCUUGCUCUUACGGGUGGCGAGUGGCGGACGGGUGAGGAAUACAUCGGAAUCUACUUUUUCGUGGGGGAUAACGUAGGGAAACUUACGCUAAUACCGCAUGCGACCUACGGGUGAAAGCAGGGGAUCUUCGGACCUUGCGCGAUUGAAUGAGCCGAUGUCGGAUUAGCUAGUUGGCGGGGUAAAGGCCCACCAAGGCGACGAUCCGUAGCUGGUCUGAGAGGAUGAUCAGCCACACUGGAACUGAGACACGGUCCAGACUCCUACGGGAGGCAGCAGUGGGGAAUAUUGGACAAUGGGCGCAAGCCUGAUCCAGCCAUACCGCGUGGGUGAAGAAGGCCUUCGGGUUGUAAAGCCCUUUUGUCGGGAAAGAAAAGCAGCAGGUUAAUACCCCGCUGUUCUGACGGUACCCAAAGAAUAAGCACCGGCUAACUUCGUG
RNAcentral lists this ribosomal RNA (492 nucleotides) under uncultured bacterium. Its description in RNAcentral is "partial 16S ribosomal RNA". It matches the Rfam family "Bacterial small subunit ribosomal RNA", at positions 29 to 507 of the family's 1533-position model. The record is from RNAcentral.